Molecule: ribosomal RNA, 265 nt
Filed under: uncultured prokaryote
Description: partial 16S ribosomal RNA
Rfam family: Bacterial small subunit ribosomal RNA
Source: RNAcentral
UACGUAGGGGGCAAGCGUUAUCCGGAAUUAUUGGGCGUAAAGAGCGCGCAGGUGGUUGAUUAAGUCUGAUGUGAAAGCCCACGGCUUAACCGUGGAGGGUCAUUGGAAACUGGUCGACUUGAGUGCAGAAGAGGGAAGUGGAAUUCCAUGUGUAGCGGUGAAAUGCGUAGAGAUAUGGAGGAACACCAGUGGCGAAGGCGGCUUCCUGGUCUGUAACUGACACUGAGGCGCGAAAGCGUGGGGAGCAAACAGGAUUAGAUACCCU